This 320-nucleotide long non-coding RNA is filed under the name Salvia miltiorrhiza (redroot sage). Its description in RNAcentral is "long non-coding RNA (SMIL_LNC008099)". The record is from RNAcentral. Lineage: Eukaryota; Viridiplantae; Streptophyta; Magnoliopsida; Lamiales; Lamiaceae.
CAUUUCAGUGUAGUAAAACAGAAGAUGAGCGUCGUUGCAACAAAGUAAUGAAAAUAAUAGUGUAUGAAAGCAUCAUUCUGUGACAUUGGGACACGCCCAAGCACCAUGUACAAAAUGAAAACAGACGCACAUAUAAAAUCCCAUGCAUUGAAAUAGAGAAACAUUCUUCUACUACAGGUUUCGAGUAAUCAAAUAACAGCUCUAGCAAAGGGAAGGAACAAAAAUCCCAGAGUUCGGUCUUUCGCUCCACAGCGUGCUUUUUCUCAUCUUCCGUAAAGCGCAAGGCUGAGUGAUAUAUAGCAUUUGUUGUUGGUGCACCG